CCCGUAGUUCAAUGGAUAGAACGGUCGCCUCCUAAGCGACAGAUACAGGUUCGAUUCCUGUCGGG
Molecule: transfer RNA, 65 nt
Filed under: Comamonas sp.
Lineage: Bacteria; Pseudomonadati; Pseudomonadota; Betaproteobacteria; Burkholderiales; Comamonadaceae
Description: tRNA-Arg
Rfam family: tRNA
About the family: Transfer RNA (tRNA) molecules are approximately 80 nucleotides in length.
Source: RNAcentral